CCUACGGGAGGCAGCAGUGGGGAAUAUUGGACAAUGGGCGAAAGCCUGAUCCAGCAAUUCCGCGUGUGUGAAGAAGGCCUUCGGGUUGUAAAGCACUUUAGUGGGGGAAGAAACAGCUUGGCCACACCAAGCCUUGACGGUACCCCAAGAAUAAGCACCGGCUAACUCUGUGCCAGCAGCCGCGGUAAUACAGAGGGUGCAAGCGUUAAUCGGAUUUACUGGGCGUAAAGGGUGCGUAGGUGGCUAUUUAAGUCGGAUGUGAAAGCCCGGGGCUCAACCUCGGAAUUGCAUUCGAUACUGAGUGGCUAGAGUUCGGUAGAGGGCGGCGGAAUUUCCGGUGUAGCGGUGAAAUGCGUAGAUAUCGGAAGGAACAUCAAUGGCGAAGGCAGCCGCCUGGGCCUGGACUGACACUGAGGCACGAAAGCGUGGGUAGCAAACAGGAUUAGAUACCCUGGUAGUCCACGCCGUAAACGAUGAGAACUUGACGUUGGUUCGUUUUACGAAUCGGUGCCGCAGCUAACGCGAUAAGUUCUCCGCCUGGGGAGACGGCGCGAGUAGAACGUAACGUAAGAAGUUAGUUAGUCGUUGAGAGNGCGACGACGACGACGAGGAGGAGG
This 617-nucleotide ribosomal RNA is filed under the name uncultured bacterium. RNAcentral's name for it is "bacterial SSU rRNA". The stretch from base 1 to 538 matches the Rfam family "Bacterial small subunit ribosomal RNA", at positions 338 to 873 of the family's 1533-position model. The record is from RNAcentral.